This 245-nucleotide unclassified non-coding RNA is filed under the name Hevea brasiliensis (rubber tree). The record is from RNAcentral. Lineage: Eukaryota; Viridiplantae; Streptophyta; Magnoliopsida; Malpighiales; Euphorbiaceae.
UAAAUAAAUCUGCUUUCUCCACUACAAAGAAAUGCCAGUUAACUUCAUUCACACCUCUUCAUCUCAAAGUUAAGAUUCCAUGAAUUAGUCUUUCUUUUUUUCUUCCCCCUUCAAGAAAAAAAGUUGAAAUUUUCACCAAUUUUCUUUGUGACCAUGAAAGUCCUAAAUAAAAAAUUUGAGUAAUUCUUUACUUUUAUCCUAUAUAAAGGAAAGAAGUCAAACAUAAUAGUGUUUUCUACAAACAU